This 377-nucleotide ribosomal RNA is filed under the name uncultured eukaryote. RNAcentral's name for it is "partial 18S ribosomal RNA". It matches the Rfam family "Eukaryotic small subunit ribosomal RNA", at positions 592 to 976 of the family's 1831-position model. The record is from RNAcentral.
CAAUAGCGUAUAUUAAAGUUGUUGCAGUUAAAAAGCUCGUAGUUGGAUUUCGGGGCAGCCUGGCUGGUCCGCCGCAAGGCGAGUACUGGGCAGCCGCCCUUCCUCUCGAAAGCCCCGACUGCUCUUCAUUGCAGUGGUCGGGUAGUUCGGGACGUUUACUUUGAAAAAAUUAGAGUGUUCAAGGCAGGCCUACGCCUGAAUACAUUAGCAUGGAAUAAUGGAAGAGGACCUCGGUCCUAUUUUGUUGGUUUCCAGGGCCGAAGUAAUGAUUAAGAGGGACAGUUGGGGGCAUUCGUAUUUAAUUGUCAGAGGUGAAAUUCUCGGAUUUAUGAAAGACGAACAACUGCGAAAGCAUUUGCCAAGGAUGUUUUCAUUAA